RNAcentral lists this ribosomal RNA (430 nucleotides) under uncultured bacterium. Its description in RNAcentral is "bacterial SSU rRNA". It matches the Rfam family "Bacterial small subunit ribosomal RNA", at positions 355 to 776 of the family's 1533-position model. The record is from RNAcentral.
UGGGGAAUUUUGCGCAAUGGGGGAAACCCUGACGCAGCAACGCCGCGUGAGUGAUGAAGGCCUUCGGGUCGUAAAGCUCUGUCAGAGGGAAAGAAAUGCAGAUGCGCUAAUAUCGCGACUGCUUGACGGUACCCUCAAAGGAAGCACCGGCUAACUCCGUGCCAGCAGCCGUGGUAAUACAGAGGGGGCAAGCGUUAUUCGGAAUUAUUGGGCGUAAAGAGCGCGUAGGCGGUGUUUUAAGUGAGAUGUGCAAUCCCCGAGCUUAACUUGGGAACUGCAUCUCAUACUGGAACGCUAGAGUAUCGGAGAGGGUGGUAGAAUUCCACGUGUAGCGGUGAAAUGCGUAGAGAUGUGGAGGAAUACCAAUGGCGAAGGCAGCCCCCUGGGAUAACACUGACGCUCAUGCGCGAAAGCGUGGGGAGCAAACAGG